RNAcentral lists this ribosomal RNA (775 nucleotides) under Simkania negevensis. RNAcentral describes it as "bacterial LSU rRNA". It matches the Rfam family "Bacterial large subunit ribosomal RNA", at positions 743 to 1520 of the family's 2925-position model. The record is from RNAcentral. Lineage: Bacteria; Pseudomonadati; Chlamydiota; Chlamydiia; Parachlamydiales; Simkaniaceae.
GGAUGAAGCACGAGUAACAUCGAGUGAAGGUCCGAACCAGUGUAUGUUGAAAAAUACUUGGAUGAGUUGUGGAUAGGGGUGAAAGGCCAAUCAAACUUGGAGAUAUCUUGUUCUCUCCGAAAUAACUUUAGGGUUAGCCUUGACUUUCAGACUUCUGGGGGUAGAGCACUGGAUUCCCAAGGGGGCCUACCGGCCUACCGACGGAAACCAAACUCCGAAUACUAGAAGUUAAGUCAGGAGAUAGACAGUGGGGGAUAAGCUUCAUUGUCGAGAGGGGAACAGCCCAGAUCGCCGAUUAAGGCCCCUAAUUCUAUGCUAAGUGAGUAAGGAUGUGAAGUUUCACAGACAGUUGGAAUGUUGGCUUAGAGGCAGCCACCAUUUAAAGAGUGCGUAACAGCUCACCAACCGAGAAAUUUUGCGCCGAUAAUAAACGGGACUAAGCAUAGAGCCGAAAUCGCGGGUGUCAUACAUUAGUAUGGCGCGGUAGGAGAGCGUAGUAUGUGCGGUGAAGAUAUACCGUAAGGAGUGUUGGAGCGCAUACUAGUGAGGAUGCAUGGCAUGAGUACACGAUAAAGGAAGUGAGAAUCUUCCUCGCCGAAAGCCUAAGGUUUCCAGGGUAAAGCUCGUCUUCCCUGGGUUAGCCGGCCCCUAAGCCGAGGCAGAAAUGCGUAGGCGAUGGAAAGCAGGUUAAAUAUUCCUGCGCCACCUAAAACUAUGGUGAUGGGACGACGAAGUAUGUUAAGCACGCGAACUAUUGGAUGUUCGUUUCUCUAUG